RNAcentral lists this long non-coding RNA (15292 nucleotides) under Manihot esculenta (cassava). RNAcentral describes it as "long non-coding RNA (MESC_LNC003751)". The record is from RNAcentral. Lineage: Eukaryota; Viridiplantae; Streptophyta; Magnoliopsida; Malpighiales; Euphorbiaceae.
GGUUAUACUUCUAGAUUCGGUUUGAUCCAUGUAGAUUACGAAAAUAACCGAGCAAGAGACCUCAAGCAAUCAGCUAAUUGGUUCAUGGAAUUCCUGAAAAACAAGACCUCAGGCAAUCAGCAAAUUUAUGAUGAUGGUUUAUCUCAUUUAUAUAGGGAUUAAAGAUAGCAUCGUCAGUUGAAAUGAAACCAUCUGGAGUUUUUCAAUUGUCAUGGCAAAGACAUGUAGCUGUCUAAAUAACCAUUGCUAUGUCUGUAUGAUGUGGUUAAUGGUUAUGCUUUUUUUAGAAUAAAUAAAUGAAUAAAUGGAAUUUCAUCUUUCAAUUUUUAUGCCAUUAUGAAUGCCAAUACUUCUCUUUUUCUUUUAACUAUGUAAUAAUGGAAAAAAUUGCCAACCCCAGAAAGCAUAAGAGAUGAUGAAUUGAGAGAAAGCUAAAACAAUGCAAAUGGCGAUCUGAUGAGACAGCAGUCACAUGAAAAAUAAUGGGUCUUGCUUCCUCAAUUCAAAGCAAUUUCUGUUUGGUUCCUUAUUAUUAUUAAUCUACCCUACUUAUCUUCUUCUUCAAAUUAUUCAUCCAGCAUCCCACACUGCCUUGACCUGGUAAAUACAUGAACAUAAAAAGAAGAAUAAGAGAAGAUUAGUCAAUUUCCUGAAUAUGACCUGACAUAGCUAACAGAGACAUACAUGGUUUUUGGACCAUAAUAUUUGUGGGAGAAGAAGGUAGACAGGAUUGAUUCAAUUUUGCUUUAGUCCCUCUAAACUUUAACCAAAAUCAUUAAUAAUUUCAAGGUGAUCACACCUAGGUGGGGGACUAGAUAGGGUUGUGCUCAUUCUUGACUGGUACAACAAGUAUAUAUUAGCCAUUAUUAUAUCAUAUAUAUUCUAAAGCAUUUUUUUAAUUGUAGUAAUGAUAAUUUGCCAUGCAAGAAAAGAAAGUGCCUAAAAAGAUUUUCUUGGUGAAUCUUGAAGGAAACAAUAAGUUGGGAAAUAAUAGAAAAGGGUGUGAAAUCUGAUUAUGCAAGCAAGAAACUAAUUGUAAUGCCAAACAAUGGCCACAACUUUUUAAACAUCAAGUUAUAUAUCACUUAUCAGAAUGAAGCUCCAUUGCUGCUGAUGAAUUUAAAUCAAGAUUUGAAAGUGAAAAAUACCAGAAAUUAAUGAAUGAAAAAAAAAAUUAUAAUAAAUGCACAUGGAGAAGAGACAAUACUCACAUGGGAGAAUGACUCAUAACAUGCAGCUUUAGCUUUGUCAAAUCAAAACAAGUCUAUUCAAAUUAUUUAUUUCCAUCAUUCUUGUGUUUCUCAACAGAGCUCCAAGAGAAUUUCUUUUGAAAAAAAAAAUAAAAAUAAAAACACAAUAAACGACUUAGCUAAAAAUGAAACUGUAGGAAUUCUCAUUCCUUAGUAAAUUGACUUAUUGCCUGAAAAUAAACAUUUCGCUUUCGUAAAGAAUAGAGUUGUCCUUUUCAAACUCUCUCUAUAUAUAUACAUAUCUUUUAUGAAUGCCAACUGAUUACUAGAUGGUCCAAUUCAUUAUUAACAAAAAAAUUCCAUAAUUAUAUUAUUCAUUAAUAAAUAAAAAAAUCAUAAUUGAAAAGGAAAUAAUUUAUGGUAUAUUGGAAUCCAUCCAGAAAACAGAGCAUACCUUAGGCCUGCUCUGCCAUAGGCAAGAUUAUCCACAACAUAUUCAGUCCUUUCUCUUUUUUUUCCUUUUUUUUUGGGGGCACUGGUUCAAUAAUUUUAAAUAAUUUAGCUCAAAUGAGCUUGCCAUUUUUUGCCAGUGUUAGGGGAGUGGGGGACCUGGAUAGCCCAUACUGGAAUAGCUGUACAAUUUCUUUUUUUUUUUUGUUCCCCCCUCCCCAUUUUGUUCUCUAUUGGGAAAUGAAUGUUUGUUUCUAACCAAACUACUUUCUUCAUUAAUACUCAACUUACUCCAUGGUUGUGCAUGAGAGGUGAGUAUAUGUUUCUCACUAUAUUUGUCCCAGGGCUUAGAAAUUCAAAAGAUAAGUUAAAUGUGUAUUUGCAACCCUUAGUAACUGAGUUGAAAGAUUUAUGGGAGAAUGGAGUUGAAAUAUAUGAUACAUUCAAUAAAGAAAAUUUUAACUUGUGAGCUGCUUUAAUGUGGACUAUAAGUGAUUUUUCUACUUAUGCAAUGUUAUCUGGAUGGAACACUGCAGGACGGACCUUUUAUCUUUAUUGCAUGGAAGAUAGUGAUGCGUUCAUAUUUACAAGAGGAAAUAAGCAAUCAUGGUUUGAUAAUCAUCACAAAUUUUUAUCUCUUAGCCAUUCUUUUAGAAGAAACAAAACAGUUUUUAGGAAGAAUGUAUCUAUUACUAAGCAAGCUAAACCACCAAUCUCUGGUAAAGAAGUAUUGAAACAGAUUGAUGAAUUGGAGUUUAAGAGGGUUAUAGAUGAAAAUGCAUUUGAAACAAAUCCCUGUCUAUCAAAGCAAUGCGGUUGGCGAAAAAGAAGUAUCUUAUAGAAUUUACCGUAUUGGAAAAGUAAUUUGGUUCGGCACAAUCUCGAUAUUAUGAACAUUGAGAAAAAUUCUUUAAAAACAUAAUCAACACUAUAAUAAGUGUUGAAGGAAAGACAAAGGACAAUGCUAAGUCAAGGGCAGACCUAAAUGUGAUAUGCGUUCGGCUAAAGUUGGAAAUGAAUCAAGUCACUGGGAGAUAUCCCAAAACUUGUUAUACUCUAGAUAAGCAAAGUAAGCAAGUGUUAUGUGAUUAACUGAAAAAUCUCAAGUUUCCCGAUAGAUAUGUUUCCAAUAUGGGGUAAUGUAUUGAUAUGAAGAAGCUGAAGAUGUUUGGGAUGAAGAAUCAUGAUUAUGCCAAUUGCAUUUUGUGAGUUGUUUCCUUCGAAUGUUUGGCAGCCCUUAACAGAGUUGAGCAAUUUUUUUAAGGAAUUAACAUCUACCGCUAUAAGUGAGAGUGAUAUGCUACGGUUGCAUGGUGAAAUUCUUUUGAUCAUAUGUAAGCUUAAGCGUGUUUUCCCUCCAAGCUUCUUUGAUUGUAUGGAAUAUCUCCCCGUCCACCUAGCAUAUGAAUCAUGGCUGGCAGGUCCAGUGCAAUAUCGGUGGAUAUAUCCUUUUGAACAGUAAACUCUUUUAACUUCACUUUAAUUAAGUUAUUUAAUAAUAUUUACUAAUAUUGGUCAUAUAUUUUAUAGAUAUCUGUGACGGCUUAAGAAUAAUGUUAGAAAUAAAGCUAGAGUCGAGGGAUCAAUAUGUAAUGCGUACCUAGUAGAAGAAGCAACAUCAUUUUGUGCGCAUUACUUUGAGUCAUAUGUCCAAACUAGAAAUCAAAAAGUACCAAGGAAUGUUGACAUUUCAGAAAGUAUUGAAAAUUAUAAAGGCAAUCUGUCAAUUUUCAUGCAGUCCGGUCGACCAAUAGGAAAAAGGACAACCAUGUACCUUAUGGAGGAUGAGUAUAUAUUAUUAAAUUACCCAGAAGUGAAACCCUACGUUGAGUAAGUUAUCGUAAAUAAUUAAUUUACAUGUUAGUUUUUUAAAUUACUUUUUCUAAUUCAGUUGAGGUUUUUCCAGUAUUUAUAUUGAUCAAUUGCGCUCAAAUGAUCUGUUAGUCAAUGAUUCUCAGAUUAACAUCAAAUUGGAGAGUGAAUUCUCUAUAUGCUUCAAUAAUUUUGCUCAUGAUUCGUGCAAUAAUAUAUCCAACAAGUUUAUCAUAUCACUUGUAAAGGGUCUAUUAUGAAGUAUGACAUCAUACAAUGGAUAUAUGGUGAAUGGAUAUAAGUUCUAAUCAAAGUUAUACUAUGCAAGUAGAGCAACUAUGAAUAGUGGGUGUGUAUUAAGGGGUCAAAUUACAGCAGCGAAAAGAGUGAUUACUAUGAACAAUUGCUUAAAGUUAUACGUUUGAAGUAUCCAGAUCUUCCAAUCAAGCAAUUUGUACUUUUCAAAUGCAAUUGGUUUGACUCCAUUCCAAAUGUAGGCACAAAGAUCCAUAGUAAAUAUAAACUUAUUGAUGUAAAUCAUAAACGAUCUUUUAAUAGAUAUGAGCCUUUUAUGCUGGGAAUACAAGCAAUACAAGUUAUAUAUACUCAGUAUCCUAGCCUAAGGCGAGACAAAAUUGAAUGGUGGACUGCUAUAAAAGUCAAAACACGGUCUGUAAUUCAACUUCCAACACAGAAAAAUACACAACCUGCUAAUGAACCAUUUCAAUAAGAUGAAUUGAAACACACUGCCAUUAUUAAAAAAAAAUUCAUGAUUGAACACAAUAAUUAAAUGAUCCAAUUGAGGAUGUUACUGAAAUUGAUGAUGGUGAAGAAAAUGGUCAAGAUGAAACUAUAAUAGCAAUAAAAAUAGAUGAUGAUGAUGAUAAUGAUGACUUAGAUGUAGAUAGUGAAUAAAAGGUAUAACAUAAUUGAUAUCUAUUUUUACUUUCAGUUAUUGAAUAUGUUUUACCACAUGUGAUUUGUUUAAUAUGAAUUUAUAUAGGAUGAGAGGACAAGGAUGAGAACGUUGAUCUUCAUCACGGGGUCGAGAAGACCACAGUAGGGGCAGUGUCCACACGAGUGAAUCACAAAAUAUCAAUCAAGAUUUGGUACAACACACUGCUUUAAUUCCUAGACCAUACCAGGGUGAGAGAUCCACACAGGGUGCUGCAUCAUCCACCUCUGCUUCAGUGCACACAUCUACUACUGUCUCAACUCCCAUAAGUUUGCCACCUAUUACAUUGACGACAGCAUCUGCAUCUGCAUUUGCUUCUGGUAGUUGUGGAUCUACAGGACACAGACCAUAUAUUUUCUUAGUAAACUCAAUGUGAGUAAAAUUUAUAAGUAUUUUUAAAUAUGCAUUUAAUUUCUCUGCUUAUUUCAAAAUAAUUAUUUUGUCAAUUGUUUUUUUACAGCAUGCAGCCUUCUGAUCUGAUUGCUAGGCGGAUUACCUUGAUUUUCAAGGAAAAGUUAGUAGCAGAUGGCUUUUAUUGGAAAAAUAUACCAGAAAAGGUUAAAGAAUUUUAUUGGCAAGAAUUUAAGGCAAAUACAAAUUUUACUGUGCAUGUGAUUAAUUUUACUGUGCAUUAUUUGUCACUAAAUGUGAGUAAUUACAGAAACAUUUCUUAUGGGAGGAGGCAAUAGAGUAGCUUAUAAAGAUAGUUUGGAGAAAGAAAGCUGUUGAGCACUAUCGUAGCCUUAUGUGUAGCAUAAGGAAUGACAGGAGAAGAGGCUAUCACUGUCAGAAGGAGUAAUGAAUGCAUGGCAAUCCGCUUUGGGUACUGCUAAGUAUCAAGACAAAUGCAAAAAAUUCUCAAAUAGCAAAAAAAGUAAAACAGAUGGGUAAGGCAUUGGUCCAUUAAGACAUUGUAGAGGAUCCAUAUCUUAAUAUAGGCAUCAACAAUACAUGGUAUGUGAUAUUUAUUUUCACUUAAAUUUUUUCAAAUGCUUUAAAUUUUAUUCAAUUUAUUGUGAAUUUAUAUUGAAGCAUAUUAUUACUAUUUAUAUUUAACUUAUAGCGAAAGACUAGGCAGAAAUCCUCUACCUCAUGAGUUAUUUGAGAUUACUCAUAAGAAGAAGAGUACCUCAGAAUUCAUUGAUGCACGCUCAAAAGUCAUUCAUGUGAGAAAUUAAAUAAAUUUAUAAUAAAUUAUUUGAUUUAUAGUUUAUACUAUUAUAUCACAUGGUAUUUAUUUUUUGAAAGACUGGUUUAUGUCUUUAAAAGAGCAAGCAUUACAGACAGAUAAUGACAGUACUGAGACAUCUCACAGUGAUGAGGCUCUAUUAUACUUUGAGGCAGUGGGUGGAGAGAAAAAAAGAAGGGUAUAAGGACUUGGAUCAUAGGCUUCAAUUUUCUUUCCAAACAAGUCUUCUGCUAGUACAUCCUUCACAUCAGCUCAACAAAAUCAGGAUCUUCAUGAUGAAAUGGCUUAUCUCAUAUGCAAGCUAUAGGAGCGUGAGGAUAAUGAACAAGUAUUGCGUGAGCAAAAUGUAUGGAUUACCUCUGAGCUCUCACAGGUGAAAGAUUUACUUAUGCAGCUCGUGAGUCAAAAACAAGGUAGCUAACCUUCAGCUCCUAUUACGGUGAGGGAACUUCUGCAUAGCCUCCUAAUUACGCAAAUGAAACUAAUGAUAAGGACGAGGAUACUAUACAUUUAUAGUUUCUUUUUUCAUUACCCAUAUGUACUAAGAUAAUAAAUAAUUUAUUAAUAUUUUUAGUUUAAAAUCGGUCAAUUUGAUACUUUGAUAUAUGUUAUGUUUGAUUUGUUUUACAUUAUAUAUUAUAUUGGAUUUGAAUUCAUUCAUGAUAUGUAUGACAUUAGUUUUCACAUUUAUUAUUGAGAUGAGUUGUAAAAGUUGAGCGUAUUUAUAGGUUAAAUUGUCUGGUUAAAAUAUAUAAAUUAUAAUAUUUUUUUAUAAUUUUAUAAAUAGUAACGAAUAAAAUUGAUACUGUCUUUUGAAAAAUAAUAACGGAUUUCUAUAACAAAUAUUACUAAAAAAAUUCGUUAUUAAAACUAGAUAAAAGGAAAUUAAAUUUAGUAACGGAUUUUAUAUUAGCAAAAGAUUUUAUAAUCCGUUAUUAAUACAUUAGCAACGAAAUUUAUUGUAACAAAAUAUAUUCAUUAUAAAUUCGUUAUAAAAUAUUUUUAAUAAUAAAUUUCUAAUAAUUAAUAACAAAAAUUUUUAUUAUUAAUGCAAUAUUUUUUUGUAGUGCUCGAAUCUGUUUAGCAUUAUAAUUAUAACUCGUGAGUGAGAAAAUCAUGUUCUUAGUAUAGUUUAAAGUUAAAUUUAAUAUGUCUUAACUCUAAAAUAAUUAGAUGAUUUAUUGUUUUAAAUUGAUUUUUCUUAAAUGAUAUUAAUUUUAAAAUUCUUGAUGCAUUAGAAUAAAAUUAAGCAAGAAAUAAUUUUAAUAAAAAUAUUUUUUUGAUAAUCAUAUUUUAUUAUAUGGUAAUGAAUAAAAUAAAAAUUAUAUUCUAGUACCAUAUUUGUAAUAUUGUAUUUAUAAUAUCAAAAUUGACUAAAGUAAAUGUUAUUUUUCUAAUAGUUUUUCAAUUAAUUUUAAUUAUAUGUAAAGUAUUUUAAUAAUUAAGUAUUGUAAUAAUAGAUUAUAUCUAAUUAUUUAUUAAAAUAGUGAUUUAUAAUAAUAUUAUAUUAUAUAAAAAAUAAUAAAAUUACGUUAUAACAAGUUUAUAUGUAAAAAAUGAAUCACACCAUUUAUGAAAUAAAUUUGCAAGUCCGUGCAAGUCGGAAUACAGAAUAUAUUAUUAUUUCAAAGAGAACGCAUGUCAAAUUAUUUUAGUUAUUAUACAUAAAGAAAUGGAGAGAGAAUUUCUUGGAAAAACCAAAAAAAAAAAAAAAAAGCAAUCCCUAUUAGGUAUCAUACAAAAUUAAGUUCUCUAUUUUUUAUUGAAAAUAUUAAUUCAAUUAGGAUGAGAUUAAAGAAAUGACGUGUUCAUGGAAAAAUUAACUUUUUAAAUAUUAAUUAUGUGAUGUAGUAAGUAAAUUUAAAAUAAAAAAUAUUUUUUUUAUGUAUUUUUAGAAGUUAAAAUAGAGAGUAUUGGGUGGCGGCUGUAUCGAUUUAGUAAAAUAUAUAUAAUAAAAUUAAGUUUUUUACGUAUAAUUUUAAAAAAAUUUUCUGUCCAUUUAAUUUCUUUUAUAAUUUAUAAUCUUGAGCCUUUUAAUUUUUUUUUACAUUAUUUAUAACUUUUUAUAUAUUUUUUAAUUAAAUGAACUUAAAUUUUAUAUUAUUUCUCUUGCUAUUUAAUUUUAAAUAAAUAAAAUUUUUAAUUACUCAAAAUAUAUAUUUUUAUUUUUAAUUAUAAAUUUAUUUUGACUAUGUAUAAAUGGUGAUCCCAUCAUCAUUCAUUCUUAUGGAUAUUUAAUUGCUAAAUAAUAGUAAUCAUAUCAGCAUGCAUUAUUCUUAUCUUUUUUUUUAUAUAUAUAUAUUGAACUAAUAUAAGAUGAAUUUAUGAAUGAUUUUAUUUAAAUAUGUAUAUUUAUUAUAUCAUAUCUUAGUUAAUCUUUUAAUAUAAAUCUUUUUUUUCUAUCAUGUUUAAUGGCAGGGCAAAUUAAUAAAUGCUUGAAUCUGAAUCUGAAUCUGAAUCUGAAUCAAAUGUUAAUUAUUAAUUUUAGUUGAAAUAUAUAUAUAUUUUUUGUCUUUUUUACAAGGCCAAUUGGUUCAAGCAAGUGGGGGUUUUCCUUCCAAUGUCAGCGUUUCCACAAACAAGGCCAAUUGGUUCUUCUUCCUAUGCGUUUAAAAAAAACUUGUUAAAAAAUCAUUAGUUUCACUAAUGAUUUAUUUGAUUUUUAAUUGAGUAAUAUAAGUAAACGGUGCAUUAAUAAGAAUUUAAACACAUUGCUUUAUUUCUGCUUAAAAAAUUCAAUAUUAAACUUCAUGCAUUUAAUGUUCAUAGGAAAGAGCGAAAAAAAUUAUUAUUUUUUGAGCCACCAUAUGCUCAUCCCUGGAUCCAAUAAGCUGGAGAAAAAAAUGGUCACUGAAACUAAAGAUAUCACGAUUAAUUAUCAUAAUUAUUUAUUAUUAUUAUAUGUUUGAAUUUGAAUCUUAAAGAGCAGGAAUUAUUUAAUACUGCAUGUGAACAAUAUUAUAAAUAAAAAAUUGUUUGAAUUUGAAUCUCGAGUAGGAACUAUUUAAUACAGAAUGUGAAUAAUAUUAUAAAAAUAAAAUAAAAUCAUCACGUGAGGAAUUUAUUUGCUUAUAAAAUGGGCAUUGCUAUGACAUGAUUAAGCACUUGAAGUAUGGCAGCUACAAGCUCUUUUCUAUUAGGAUUCACGUCCUUCUUGCUGUUAGGUUUAUUUGUUCCUACGUCUGAGCAAACACUGGAAGAUGAUAUUAUCCCACUUGAUUUCGAUUAUAAAUAUUUCCCCGUUAAUUUCACUUUCGGAACAGCCACUUCCGCUUAUCAGGUAUAAUUUACUUUUAGCUUUUAAAAAUUUUAAUGUUGUAUCUCUUAUUUAAUAAAAAAUUUUUGCUUAUGAAAAAAAAAAAUACUUUAACCUUUUUGAUAGACAUAAUUUUGUGAAAAAAAUAGCUAAAACUCAUUUAUGGUAAUAUAUUUCAGAUCGAAGGUGAAGCGAAUACAAAGUGUAGAGGACCCUCUAUAUGGGACGUAUUCACCCAUGAUUUUUCAGGUCUAUCUUUGAUUUUACAUUUUUCUUUUUUCUUCAUUCAUGAAAUUAAAUAUAAUAUAAUUUGAUAAAUGCUCUUAUUAUAUUCACUCGAGGAUAGAUUUUUUUUUUAAAUAAAAAAUCUAUUUCAUAUAAUUAGUUCUACGUACAUUUACCAUCAUAUUCCAAUGAAAUAUGAUAAUUAAGAAUAUAUAAUUGCUUAAUUAUUUUUUUUUUGGAAUUAUGCAGAGAGGAUAAAAGAUCAAAGCAAUGGCAUUAACGCAGUUGACUUUUAUAAUCGUUACAAGGUAUAAAAUAAAUAAUUUUUUUCUGAAAAUAUUUAUAUUAAUUCCAGUUCUUUUUAAGAACAAAUAAAAAAAUAAAAAUGAUAAAAUUAAUGUUGCAGGAAGAUAUUCAAAGAAUGAAGGAAAUGGGUUACAAAGCUUUCAGAUUUUCAAUUUCAUGGUCUAGAAUAAUACCCAGUAAGUACAUUACCACAGCUUAAGCCUUAAAGUUUAAUAUUGGCUUAAUUGAUACUUAAAGGAUUGUGCUCAAAAUGUAUAGUGAUUUUGUUAUAUUAUAUAUUUAUGUUUCUAAAUAUUCAAUGUUUAGGUGGGAGAAUACGUGAUGGAGUAAAUGAGCAAGGAAUUGAAUUUUACAACAAUCUUAUAGAUGAAAUCAAAAGAAACGGUAAUGAUAAUAUAUUACAAGCUUAUUUAGGUUCGGACAAUAAUCUGUUUCAGAAUUAUAUAUAAUCCUUAAUUAUUUAUUCUGAUAUACAGGAAUGGUGCCCUAUGCAACUAUUUUUCACUGGGAUACUCCUCAAGCUCUUGAAGAUAAAUAUGGUGGCUUUCUAAGUUCUGAAAUUGUGUAAGUAUAUAAUUUUCAUAUCUCACAUUUAUAUAAUAUUGGAGAUUCAGUCCAAAACUCUUAGAUUAGUUUCUUUUGACACUUAUAUUGUACAUAUAUAUAUAACACUUUAUAACUAAGAGGAUAUUUUAUUAAAUAUUAUAUUAAAUACACAGGGAUGAUUUUUAUGAUUAUGCGGAUUUUUGCUUCAAAACUUUUGGCGAUAGAGUGAAGUAUUGGAUUACUAUAAAUGAACCAUGGUCUUUGGCAUCAUUUGCAUAUGAUUCAGGAGACCAUGCCCCUGGCCGAUGCUCGGAUUGGGUGAAUCGAGCAUGCUCUGGUGGUGACUCAGCCACUGAACCUUAUAUAGUUUCCCAUAAUUUACUCCUUGCCCAUGCAACGGCUGUUGAUUUAUAUAAGAAAAAGUAUCAGGUACAAACAAAAUUACAAUAUAAAUAUAUAUAUAUAGUUAGACUAAACUAUUAAAUAAAUACAAACAUUUAACUCAUUUUCGUAAAAAAAAAAAAGUUUUUCUGACUUAAUGAUAAAAAAUUAAAUUUUUUUUAUUUACUUUAUUUCAUUAAUUAUAUUUUACCUAAUUUAAAUUUUUGUAUUAAUUAUAUCUAGUUGACUCAUUUAAUCAAAAUUAAAUGAAAACCUAGUAAAAAAUGUAUUUAUAAAACCUAUUUAUCUAUAUUUAUUAGAAAAUGAUAAUAUUUAUUUUCUUUAUUUGAAAUAUUUAUGAGUAUGAGAAAUAUAAGAGUUACUCAUCUCAUACUGAUCUCAUUACAUUGAUUGUGUAGGAAUCACAAGGUGGUAAGAUUGGGAUAACACUAAACUCAAUGUGGUUUGAGCCAUACUCCAAUAGCGCAGUUGAUAAACAGGCAGCCAGAAGAGCCCUUGAUUUCAUGUUAGGCUGGUGAGUUUUUUUUUUUUUUUUUUUUUCUUCCAAGUUGAUUCUAGUUAGCAUUUACAAUAAUAUUAAUAAUGAUGAUGAAUCCUUAUAUUAAUAUAAAUUUAUAACUUCUAGGUUUAUGGAUCCAAUAACUUAUGGUCAAUACCCAAGAAGUAUGCAAACUUUAGUUGGAAAUAGAUUGCCAAAAUUCAUGAGUAAUGAAUCUAGAUUGCUCAAAGGAUCAUAUGAUUUUAUUGGGUUAAACUACUACACUGCAACUUUUGCGAAAGGAAAUGCUAUCAUUGAUCCAAGUAGACCUAGAUAUUCAACUGAUCAUCAUGUUAUUCAAAUUGGUGAGUUCAUCUUUAUAUCAUUUUCCCAUUCAAAUAUCAAAUGAUGAUAUGAAUUGUAUAUCUGUCUCGAUGAAUAAUGUGUUCAAUUUUCAUUUUCUUUCUUCACAGCUAUUGAUCAAAAUGGUAAACCCAUUAGCGAAAUAAAGGUUGGUAUACACAUGAAGAAAAAUCUUUAAUUAAAAUAGACACAGAGGUAACGUAUAGAAUAAAUUUGCAGGGUUACUCACAUUGGAUGUAUGUUUAUCCGAAAGGCAUUCGAUAUCUUUUGAACUAUAUCAAAGAUGAAUACAGAGAUCCAAUUAUUUAUGUUACCGAAAAUGGUAAGGCAAUUAUUAAGUAAUUAUGAUAAUGCCACCUAAUUUCAUGUUCAUUAUGGUUUGAUAAUUUCCUCAUGUAUGUUCUAUACAUGUAGGGGUUGAUGAGCCCAAUAAUAAAACGUUAACCCUGGAACAAGCCCUUAAGGAUCGUGUGAGGAAAGAAUAUUAUCAAACCCAUCUUUGGAAUGUACUCAGAUCUAUCAAGUAAGUCCAAUAUUAAUAUUACAAAUUUAUUAGACAAUCUUUUACCUAAUGAUGAUUAAUUGGUUUUGACAGUGAAUAUAAAGUUAAAGUCGAAGGCUACUUUGCUUGGUCAUAUUUAGAUAAUUUUGAAUGGAGUGAAGGUUACUCUUCAAGAUUUGGUUUGAUCUAUGUAGACUAUGAUGAUAACCUAAGAAGACAUCUCAAGGAAUCAGCGAUUUGGUUUGAGAAAUUCCUCAAAGGACUUUUUAUCCUUCCUCCUGUGGAACCAGAGAAUAAAACUUUCAAUCAUAAUUUAUUCCCGGUUAACUUUACUUUUGGGACAGCUACUUCUGCUUAUCAGGUAUAAUUUGUCCUUUCUUCGAUGCUGCGAGCCUUCAAGAAUUAUAGCAAUAUACAUAUAUACACACUAUUCUACUAACGAGAUGUGGACACUAUCCAUACCAAGCAUUUUUAAAUAGCCUAAACUCGUUUAUGGUAAUAAAUUCAGAUCGAAGGUGAAGCAAACACAAAAUGCAGAGGACCUUCAACAUGGGACACAUUCACUCGUGAUUUUCCAGGUUUUUCUUUCUAUCUACAUAUUGAAUUUUUCCUUCAUUCAUAAGAUGAAGUAUAACAAUCAUUGAUUAAUGUAUAUUUGAAACAGGGUGAUUUAUAGGAGUUUUAAUAAAUAUCGUUUGAUUAAAAUAAAAUUUAAAAAGUUAGAAAUCAAAAUUUUUUUAAAUUUUUUAAAUUUUUUUAAAAUUUUUUAAAAUAGAAAAUUACUAUUUAUACGAGAAAAAAAUAUUAAUACAAAAAUUUAUAAAAAAAAUUUAAAAAUAAUUAAAAUGUAAAAUUAAUUUCCUAAAGCAUAGAAUUUAGUCUCAAACUUUGUGACAAAACCUACUAUCCUUCGUCGCAUUUCUGAAAGUCGUCUGUUUCAAAAUUCUCUUUCCGUAAAACUAUGGUGGGCCUCUAACCGACAUAAAUGAAAAUUAAGUCAUUUUUUUAUCACUUAAGUCUAGUCCAAAUUUUUUCAAAACUAAUUACUCCGCAUCAAUAUUAUUCACUUUAUGUAUAUCUUCCUCUGUGUGUUAUUUAAUUUUAACCAAAAUUAAGUUAUUCAACAUGAAAUAUUAAUUCUUUUUUUACUAUGAUUCAUAAACAACAUGAAUACUUAAUGUGUCUGUGUUAAUUAUUGAAGUUACAAAAAUAUAUGUUAUUAAUUAUUUCUAUAAAACCUUGCAGAGAAAAUAGAAGAUGGUAAGAAUGGAGAUGUAGCAAUUGAUUUUUAUAAUUUCUACAAGGUAUUGAAUCAAACAAUCUUUUUUUUUUUCUUGAAAUAUUUAUAUUAGUAUUUAUUAUUGGUACAAAUAAUAAACAUAAACGUUGAAAGUAAUAUAUUACAGGAAGAUAUUCAAAGAAUGAAAGAAAUGGGAUUUGGAGCUUUCAGAUUCUCAAUUUCAUGGUCACGAGUGAUACCUAGUAAGUAUAUUACCAAAAUUUGAGCUACGAUAUUUAUAGGUUGUACAAUAAAUGUAUAUUAAUUUUGUAAUAUUACAUAUUUAUAUUUCAUAUGUUAAAUUUUUAGGUGGCAGAGUACGUGAAGGAGUGAAUGAGCAAGGAAUUGAAUUUUACAAAAAUCUUAUAGAUGAAAUUAUAAAAAAAGGUGGCUUCACAAUCUUGAUCUAGUUUAUCGACAAUGAUAUUCCCCAUGUUUGGAACUAUAGUUCGACAAAAAAUGUUUGAAAUUAUAAUUCUUAUUUCUUUUGCAUGGAAAUACAGAAAUGGUGCCUUACGUAACUAUUUUUCAUUGGGAUACUCCUCAAGCUCUAGAAGAUAAGUAUGGCGGCUUUUUAAAUUCUGAAAUUGUGUAAGUGCAUAAUUUCCAUGGAUUUCUCAUACGAGAUUCAAUUCAAUCCUCUAGAAUUAAUUUUUUAUGCAUACUUGAAUUGUACAAGUAUAGCAUAUAAGAAUUAAGAGAACAUCUUAUUAGUUAUUAUAUUAAAUAUACAGAGAUGACUUUCGUGAUUUUGCAAAUCUUUGCUUCGAAAGUUUUGGUGAAAAAGUAAAGUAUUGGAUUACUAUAAAUGAACCAUGGUCUCUGGCGUCAUUUGGCUAUGAUUUAGGCGUCCAUGCCCCUGGCCGAUGUUCAGAAUGGGUGAAUCGAGCAUGUUCUGAAGGAAAUUCAGGAACUGAACCUUAUAUAGUUUCCCAUAAUCUACUCCGUGCUCAUGCAGCUGCUGUUGAUUUAUAUAGAAGAAAAUACAAGGUAUGUAUAAAUAUUGUAUUGAAACAAUAUAUAUAUAUAUUAAUUAUUAUUUGAUUUUUCUCACGUUUGACUAUAUAUAUAUAUAUAUAGGCAACACAAAAUGGCAUGAUUGGGAUGGCACUGAAUUCUAUGUGGUUUGAGCCAUACUCUAAUAGCAUAGAUGACAAAGAAGCAGCCAAAACAGCUCUUGAUUUCAUGUUUGGCUGGUGAGUUUUCUUGAUUGCUCUUAAUUAACCUUUAUAAUAAUAUAUUAAUGUAAGCCUAAAAUUAAUAUGUAUCUUUUAGGUUUAUGGAUCCUAUAACCUAUGGUCAAUAUCCAAGAAGCAUGCGAAUUUUGGUGGGAGAUAGAUUGCCAAAAUUCAAGUCCAAAGAAUCUAAAUUGCUCAAAGGAUCAUAUGAUUUUCUUGGGUUAAACUACUAUGCUGCAAACUAUGCAAAAGGAAAUGCUGUUGUUGAUCCACAUAAACCUACAUAUUCAACCGAUCACCAUGUUCAUCAAACUCGUGAGUUCACUUUUAUAUCACUUCCCCAUUCAAUUAAAUGAUAAGAAAUUUACUUCUUGAUAAAUAACUUGCAUGUUCAAUUUUCAUUCUUCUUUUUCUCACAGAUUUGGGCCAAAAUGGUGAACCUAUUGGCGAAAAGGUAAGUGUGAAAAAAAAAGUUUGACAAAAUGAAAAAUCAUGAGAAGAUAUAUAACAUUGAAAUAAAUCUGCAGGCUUACUCACCCUGGUUUUAUAUCUAUCCGAAAGGUCUUCGAUAUCUUUUGAAUUACACCAAAGAUACAUACAAAAAUCCAACUAUUUAUAUUACUGAGAAUGGUAAGGAAUAUUAAGCAUUCUUAUUACCAAUUACAAGAAUGCUACCUAUAAUAACAUGUUCAUAAUGGUUUGAUACAUUCAGGGGUUGAUGAACACUAUAAGCAAGGGCUUGACGAUCAUUUGAGGAAAAAAUAUUAUCAAGACCAUCUUAAGAAUGUACUUCGAUCCAUCAAGUGAGUCCAAUCUCUGAGACAUUAAUUAAACUACAAGUUUAUCAGAUAAUCAUUUUGCCUAAUGAUGAUUAAUUGGUUUUUUGGCAGGGAGUAUAAUGUUAGUGUGAAAGGUUACUUUGCUUGGUCAUAUGCAGACAACUUUGAAUGGAAUAUUGGUUAUAGGUCUAGAUUCGGUUUGGUCCACGUAGAUUACGAAAAUAACCGAGCAAGAGACGUCAAGCAAUCAGCUAAUUGGUUCAUGGAAUUCCUGAAAAACAAGACCUCAGGCAAUCAGCAAAUUUAGGAUGAUGGUUUAUCUCAUUUAUUUAGGGAUUAAAGAUGGCAUCGUCAGUUAAAAUGAAACCAUCUGGAGUUUUUC